AUUGAACGCUGGCGGCAGGCCUAACACAUGCAAGUCGAGCGGAUGAAGGGAGCUUGCUCCUGGAUUCAGCGGCGGACGGGUGGGUAAUGCCUAGGAAUCUGCCUGGUAGUGGGGGAUAACGUCCGGAAACGGGCGCUAAUACCGCAUACGUCCUGAGGGAGGAAGUGGGGGAUCUUCGGACCUCACGCUAUCAGAUGAGCCUAGGUCGGAUUAGCUAGUUGGUGGGGUAAAGGCCUACCAAGGCGACGAUCCGUAACUGGUCUGAGAGGAUGAUCAGUCACACUGGAACUGAGACACGGUCCAGACUCCUACGGGAGGCAGCAGUGGGGAAUAUUGGACAAUGGGCGAAAGCCUGAUCCAGCCAUGCCGCGUGUGUGAAGAAGGUCUUCGGAUUGUAAAGCACUUUAAGUUGGGAGGAAGGGCAGUAAGUUAAUACCUUGCUGUUUUGACGUUACCAACAGAAUAGGCACCGGCUAACUUCGUG
RNAcentral lists this ribosomal RNA (484 nucleotides) under uncultured bacterium. RNAcentral's name for it is "partial 16S ribosomal RNA". It matches the Rfam family "Bacterial small subunit ribosomal RNA", at positions 30 to 507 of the family's 1533-position model. The record is from RNAcentral.